This 253-nucleotide ribosomal RNA is filed under the name uncultured bacterium. Its description in RNAcentral is "partial 16S ribosomal RNA". It matches the Rfam family "Bacterial small subunit ribosomal RNA", at positions 524 to 776 of the family's 1533-position model. The record is from RNAcentral.
UACGUAGGGGGCAAGCGUUGUCCGGAUUUAUUGGGCGUAAAGAGCGUGUAGGCGGCCAGACAGGUCCGUUGUGAAAACUCGAGGCUCAACCUCGAGACGUCGAUGGAAACCGUCUGGCUAGAGUCCGGAAGAGGAGAGUGGAAUUCCUGGUGUAGCGGUGAAAUGCGCAGAUAUCAGGAAGAACACCUAUGGCGAAGGCAGCUCUCUGGAACGGUACUGACGCUGAGACGCGAAAGCGUGGGGAGCGAACAGG